Molecule: ribosomal RNA, 1153 nt
Filed under: Acinetobacter baumannii
Lineage: Bacteria; Pseudomonadati; Pseudomonadota; Gammaproteobacteria; Moraxellales; Moraxellaceae
Description: bacterial LSU rRNA
Rfam family: Bacterial large subunit ribosomal RNA
Source: RNAcentral
CGCAGAAACCAGGCCGCUGCAACUGUUUAUUAAAAACAUAGCACUCUGCAAACACGAAAGUGGACGUAUAGGGUGUGAUGCCUGCCCGGUGCUGGAAGGUUAAUUGAUGGGGUUAGCGUAAGCGAAGCUCUUGAUCGAAGCCCCAGUAAACGGCGGCCGUAACUAUAACGGUCCUAAGGUAGCGAAAUUCCUUGUCGGGUAAGUUCCGACCUGCACGAAUGGCAUAAUGAUGGCGGCGCUGUCUCCAGCAGAGGCUCAGUGAAAUCGAAAUCGCUGUGAAGAUGCAGUGUACCCGCGGCUAGACGGAAAGACCCCGUGAACCUUUACUGCAGCUUGACACUGAACUUUGACCUUACUUGUGUAGGAUAGGUGGGAGGCUUUGAAGCUGGAACGCUAGUUCCAGUGGAGCCGUCCUUGAAAUACCACCCUGGUAAUGUUGAGGUUCUAACUCUGUCCCGUGAUCCGGGACGAGGACCGUGUCUGGUGGGUAGUUUGACUGGGGCGGUCUCCUCCUAAAGAGUAACGGAGGAGUACGAAGGUGCGCUCAGCGUGGUCGGAAAUCACGCGUAGAGUAUAAAGGCAAAAGCGCGCUUAACUGCGAGACCCACAAGUCGAGCAGGUACGAAAGUAGGUCUUAGUGAUCCGGUGGUUCUGUAUGGAAGGGCCAUCGCUCAACGGAUAAAAGGUACUCUGGGGAUAACAGGCUGAUACCGCCCAAGAGUUCAUAUCGACGGCGGUGUUUGGCACCUCGAUGUCGGCUCAUCUCAUCCUGGGGCUGAAGCAGGUCCCAAGGGUAUGGCUGUUCGCCAUUUAAAGAGGUACGCGAGCUGGGUUUAGAACGUCGUGAGACAGUUCGGUCCCUAUCUACCGUGGGCGCUGGAAAUUUGAGAGGAUCUGCUCCUAGUACGAGAGGACCAGAGUGGACGAACCUCUGGUGUACCGGUUGUGACGCCAGUCGCAUCGCCGGGUAGCUAUGUUCGGAAGGGAUAACCGCUGAAAGCAUCUAAGCGGGAAGCCUACCUCAAGAUAAGAUUUCCCUAGGACUUUAUGUCCUCUAAAGAGCCGUUCGAGACUAGGACGUUGAUAGGUUGGAUGUGGAAGCAUAGUGAUAUGUGAAGCUGACCAAUACUAAUUGCUCGUGAGGCUUGACUAU